AACUAUAGAACUGCUUUUGAAACUGCUUAACUAGAGUGUGGGAGAGGCAGAUGGAAUUUCUGGUGUAGGGGUAAAAUCCGUAGAUAUCAGAAGGAAUACCGAUUGCGAAGGCGAUCUGCUGGAACAUUACUGACGCUGAGACGCGAAAGCGUGGGGAGCAAACAGGAUUAGAUACCCUGGUAGUCCACGCCCUAAACGAUGUACACUAGUUGUUGUGGUGCUAGUCACUGCAGUAAUACAGUUAACACAUUAAGUGUACCGCCUGGGGAGUACGGUCGCAAGAUUAAAACUCAAAGGAAUAGACGGGGACCCGCACAAGCGGUGGAGCAUGUGGUUUAAUUCGAAGAUACGCGAAAAACCUUACCUGGCCUUGACAUUGAUAGAAUCUGCUAGAGAUAGCGGAGUGCCGGCUUGCCGGAACUUGAAAACAGGUGCUGCACGGCUGUCGUCAGCUCGUGUCGUGAGAUGUUGGGUUAAGUCCCGCAACGAGCGCAACCCACGUCCUUAGUUGCCAGCAUUUCGGAUGGGAACUCUAAGGAGACUGCCUUCGCAAGGAGGAGGAAGGUGUGGACGACGUCAAGUCAUCAUGGCCCUUACGGCCAGGGCUACACACGUGCUACAAUGGGGCGUACAAAGAGCAGCAAUACCGCGAGGUGGAGUAAAUCUCAAAAACGCCUCCCAGUUCAGAUUGCACUCUGCAACUCGAGUGCAUGAAGUUGGAAUCGCUAGUAAUCGUAGAUCAGCAUUGCUACGGUGAAUACGUUCCCGGGUCUUGUACUCACCGCCCGUCACACCAUGGGAGUUGAUUUUACCCGAAGCGGGGAUGC
RNAcentral lists this ribosomal RNA (827 nucleotides) under uncultured Campylobacterota bacterium. RNAcentral's name for it is "bacterial SSU rRNA". It matches the Rfam family "Bacterial small subunit ribosomal RNA", at positions 611 to 1435 of the family's 1533-position model. The record is from RNAcentral. Lineage: Bacteria; Pseudomonadati; Campylobacterota.